This 505-nucleotide ribosomal RNA is filed under the name Borrelia miyamotoi. Its description in RNAcentral is "bacterial SSU rRNA". It matches the Rfam family "Bacterial small subunit ribosomal RNA", at positions 57 to 556 of the family's 1533-position model. The record is from RNAcentral. Lineage: Bacteria; Pseudomonadati; Spirochaetota; Spirochaetia; Spirochaetales; Borreliaceae.
GCAAGUCAAACGGAAUGUAGCAAUACAUUCAGUGGCGAACGGGUGAGUAACGCGUGGAUAAUCUACCUACGAGAUGGGGAUAACUAUUAGAAAUAGUAGCUAAUACCGAAUAAAGUCAAUUGAGAUGUUAAUUGAUGAAAGGAAGCCUUUAAAGCUUCGCUUGUAAAUGAGUCUGCGUCUUAUUAGCUAGUUGGUAGGGUAAGAGCCUACCAAGGCUAUGAUAAGUAACCGGCCUGAGAGGGUGAUCGGUCACACUGGAACUGAGAUACGGUCCAGACUCCUACGGGAGGCAGCAGCUAAGAAUCUUCCGCAAUGGGCGAAAGCCUGACGGAGCGACACUGCGUGAACGAAGAAGGUCGAAAGAUUGUAAAGUUCUUUUAUAAAUGAGGAAUAAGCUUUGUAGGAAAUGACUAAGUGAUGACGUUAGUUUAUGAAUAAGCCCCGGCUAAUUACGUGCCAGCAGCCGCGGUAAUACGUAAGGGGCGAGCGUUGUUCGGGAUUAUUG